RNAcentral lists this ribosomal RNA (2645 nucleotides) under Staphylococcus haemolyticus. Its description in RNAcentral is "23S ribosomal RNA". It matches the Rfam family "Bacterial large subunit ribosomal RNA". Lineage: Bacteria; Bacillati; Bacillota; Bacilli; Caryophanales; Staphylococcaceae. The record is from RNAcentral.
GAUUAAGUUAUUAAGGGCGCACGGUGGAUGCCUUGGCACUAGAAGCCGACGAAGGACGUUACUAACGACGAUAUGCUUUGGGUAGCUGUAAGUAAGCGUUGAUCCAGAGAUUUCCGAAUGGGGGAACCCAGCACGAGUUAUGUCGUGUUAUCGACAAGUGAAUUCAUAGCUUGUCAGAAGGCAGACCCGGAGAACUGAAACAUCUUAGUACCCGGAGGAAGAGAAAGAAAAAUCGAUUCCCUGAGUAGCGGCGAGCGAAACGGGAAGAGCCCAAACCAAUAAGCUUGCUUAUUGGGGUUGUAGGACACUCUAUACGGAGUUACAAAGGAAUAUAUUAGACGAAUCAUCUGGAAAGUUGAAUCAAAGAAGGUAAUAAUCCUGUAGUUGAAAAUAUAUUCUCUCUUGAGUGGAUCCUGAGUACGACGGAGCACGUGAAAUUCCGUCGGAAUCUGGGAGGACCAUCUCCUAAGGCUAAAUACUCUCUAGUGACCGAUAGUGAACCAGUACCGUGAGGGAAAGGUGAAAAGUACCCCGGAAGGGGAGUGAAAGAGAACUUGAAACCGUGUGCUUACAAGUAGUCAGAGCCCGUUAAUGGGUGAUGGCGUGCCUUUUGUAGAAUGAACCGGCGAGUUACGAUCUGAUGCAAGGUUAAGCAGGAGAUGUGGAGCCGUAGCGAAAGCGAGUCUGAAUAGGGCGUUGAGUAUUUGGUCGUAGACCCGAAACCAGGUGAUCUACCCAUGGUCAGGUUGAAGUUCAGGUAACACUGAAUGGAGGACCGAACCGACUUACGUUGAAAAGUGAGCGGAUGAACUGUGGGUAGCGGAGAAAUUCCAAUCGAACUUGGAGAUAGCUGGUUCUCUCCGAAAUAGCUUUAGGGCUAGCCUCAAGUGAUGAUUAUUGGAGGUAGAGCACUGUUUGGACGAGGGGCCCCUCUCGGGUUACCGAAUUCAGACAAACUCCGAAUGCCAAUUAAUUUAACUUGGGAGUCAGAACAUGGGUGAUAAGGUCCGUGUUCGAAAGGGAAACAGCCCAGACCACCAGCUAAGGUCCCAAAAUAUAUGUUAAGUGGAAAAGGAUGUGGCGUUGCCCAGACAACUAGGAUGUUGGCUUAGAAGCAGCCAUCAUUUAAAGAGUGCGUAAUAGCUCACUAGUCGAGUGACACUGCGCCGAAAAUGUACCGGGGCUAAACAUAUUACCGAAGCUGUGGAUUGUCCGUAGGACAAUGGUAGGAGAGCGUUCUAAGGGCGUUGAAGCAUGAUCGCAAGGACAUGUGGAGCGCUUAGAAGUGAGAAUGCCGGUGUGAGUAGCGAAAGACGGGUGAGAAUCCCGUCCACCGAUUGACUAAGGUUUCCAGAGGAAGGCUCGUCCGCUCUGGGUUAGUCGGGUCCUAAGCUGAGGCCGACAGGCGUAGGCGAUGGAUAACAGGUUGAUAUUCCUGUACCACCUAGCAUCGUUUUAAUCGAUGGGGGGACGCAGUAGGAUAGGCGAAGCGUACGAUUGGAUUGUACGUCGANNNNNNNNNNNNNNNNNNNNNNNNNNNNNNNNNNNNNNNNNNNNNNNNNNNNNNNNNNNNNNNNNNNNNNNNNNNNNNNNNNNNNNNNNNNNNNNNNAGUUAGCUUCUGCGAAGCUACGAAUCGAAGCCCCAGUAAACGGCGGCCGUAACUAUAACGGUCCUAAGGUAGCGAAAUUCCUUGUCGGGUAAGUUCCGACCCGCACGAAAGGCGUAACGAUUUGGGCACUGUCUCAACGAGAGACUCGGUGAAAUCAUAGUACCUGUGAAGAUGCAGGUUACCCGCGACAGGACGGAAAGACCCCGUGGAGCUUUACUGUAGCCUGAUAUUGAAAUUCGGCACAGCUUGUACAGGAUAGGUAGGAGCCUUUGAAACGUGAGCGCUAGCUUACGUGGAGGCGCUGGUGGGAUACUACCCUAGCUGUGUUGGCUUUCUAACCCGCACCACUUAUCGUGGUGGGAGACAGUGUCAGGCGGGCAGUUUGACUGGGGCGGUCGCCUCCUAAAAGGUAACGGAGGCGCUCAAAGGUUCCCUCAGAAUGGUUGGAAAUCAUUCAUAGAGUGUAAAGGCAUAAGGGAGCUUGACUGCGAGACCUACAAGUCGAGCAGGGUCGAAAGACGGACUUAGUGAUCCGGUGGUUCCGCAUGGAAGGGCCAUCGCUCAACGGAUAAAAGCUACCCCGGGGAUAACAGGCUUAUCUCCCCCAAGAGUUCACAUCGACGGGGAGGUUUGGCACCUCGAUGUCGGCUCAUCGCAUCCUGGGGCUGUAGUCGGUCCCAAGGGUUGGGCUGUUCGCCCAUUAAAGCGGUACGCGAGCUGGGUUCAGAACGUCGUGAGACAGUUCGGUCCCUAUCCGUCGUGGGCGUAGGAAAUUUGAGAGGAGCUGUCCUUAGUACGAGAGGACCGGGAUGGACAUACCUCUGGUGUACCAGUUGUCGUGCCAACGGCAUAGCUGGGUAGCUAUGUAUGGACGGGAUAAGUGCUGAAAGCAUCUAAGCAUGAAGCCCCCCUCAAGAUGAGAUUUCCCAACUUCGGUUAUAAGAUCCCUCAAAGAUGAUGAGGUUAAUAGGUUCGAGGUGGAAGCGUGGUGACACGUGGAGCUGACGAAUACUAAUCGAUCGAAGACUUAAUCAA